AGGCAGCAGUGGGGAAUAUUGCACAAUGGGCGCAAGCCUGAUGCAGCCAUGCCGCGUGUAUGAAGAAGGCCUUCGGGUUGUAAAGUACUUUCAGCAGUGAGGAAGGUGGAUAUGUUAAUAGCAUAUUCAUUUGACGUUAGCUGCAGAAGAAGCACCGGCUAACUCCGUGCCAGCAGCCGCGGUAAUACGGAGGGUGCGAGCGUUAAUCGGGAAUUACUGGGCGUAAAGCGCAUGCAGGUGGUUUGUUAAGUCAGAUGUGAAAGCCCGGGGCUCAACCUCGGAAUUGCAUUUGAAACUGGCAAACUAGAGUACUGUAGAGGGGGUAGAAUUUCAGGUGUAGCGGUGAAAUGCGUAGAGAUCUGAAGGAAUACCGGUGGCGAAGGCGGCCCCCUGGACAGAUACUGACACUCAGAUGCGAAAGCGUGGGGAGCAAACAGGAUUAGAUACCCUGGUAG
RNAcentral lists this ribosomal RNA (455 nucleotides) under uncultured bacterium. Its description in RNAcentral is "bacterial SSU rRNA". It matches the Rfam family "Bacterial small subunit ribosomal RNA", at positions 346 to 793 of the family's 1533-position model. The record is from RNAcentral.